ACGCUCGACACCUACGGGGGGCAGCAGUGGGGAAUAUUGCACAAUGGGGGAAACCCUGAUGCAGCGACGCCGCGUGGAGGAAGAAGGUCUUCGGAUUGUAAACUCCUGUUGUUGGGGAAAAAGAGGAUGGUACCCAACAAGGAAGUGACGGCUAACUACGUGCCUGCAGCCGCGGUAAUCUGAGCGGGCUGGCAAGGC
This 198-nucleotide ribosomal RNA is filed under the name uncultured bacterium. RNAcentral's name for it is "partial 16S ribosomal RNA". It matches the Rfam family "Bacterial small subunit ribosomal RNA", at positions 328 to 539 of the family's 1533-position model. The record is from RNAcentral.